UUCCGGUUGAUCCUGCCGGAGGCGACCGCUUUUGGAGUUCGAUUAAGCCAUGCGAGUAGAAAGAAAUUAGAUUCUUUGCGAACUGCUCAGUAACACGUGGAUAACCUGCCCUAUGCUCCGGAAUAACCUCGGGAAACUGAGAAUAAUACCGGAUAGAUCACAACGCCUGGAACGGUGUGUGGUUGAAAGAUUACGGCAUAGGAUGGGUCUGCGGCGUAUCAGGUUGUAGGGGGUGUAAAGGACCUCCUAGCCAUCGACGCGUACGGGUGUUGGGAGACAUAGCCCGGAGAUGGAUUCUGAGACACGAAUCCAGACCCUACGGGGUGCAGCAGGCGCGAAAACUUCACACUGCAGGAAACUGUGAUGAGGGAACUCCAAGUGCACGCACUUAGUGUGUGCUUUUUUCAACUAUUAAUCGGUUGAAGAAUAAGGGCUGGGAAAGACCGGUGCCAGCCGCCGCGGUAAUACCGGCAGCUCAAGUGGCCGUCGCUUUUAUUGGGCCUAAAACGUCCGUAGCCUGUUUGGUAAAUCUGUGGGUAAAUCAACCAGCUUAACUGGUUGAAUUCUGCAGAGACUGCCAGACUAGGGACCGGGAGAGGUGUGGGGUACUCUAGGGGUAGGGGUAAAAUCCUGUCAUCCUUAGAGGACCACCAGUUGCGAAGGCGCCACACUGGAACGGAUCCGACGGUCAGGGACGAAGCCUAGGGGCACGAACCGGAUUAGAUACCCGGGUAGUCCUAGGUGUAAACGCUGUGAACUUGGUGUCGGGGAUCCGUCAUGGGUCCCCGGUGCCGGAGUGAAGAUGUUAAGUUCACUGCCUGGGGAGUACGGUCGCAAGGCUGAAACUUAAAGGAAUUGGCGGGGGAGCACUGCAACGGGAGGAGCGUGCGGUUUAAUUGGAUUCAACGCCGGA
Molecule: ribosomal RNA, 913 nt
Filed under: uncultured archaeon
Lineage: Archaea
Description: bacterial SSU rRNA
Rfam family: Archaeal small subunit ribosomal RNA
Source: RNAcentral